GCUGCCGUGGUGUAGUGGUUAGCAUUGGAGCCUGUGGAGCUCCCGGCCCGAGUUCAAAUCUCGGCGGCGGCC
RNAcentral lists this transfer RNA (72 nucleotides) under Candidatus Aenigmatarchaeota archaeon. RNAcentral describes it as "tRNA-His". It matches the Rfam family "tRNA". Rfam says of the family: Transfer RNA (tRNA) molecules are approximately 80 nucleotides in length. Their secondary structure includes four short double-helical elements and three loops (D, anti-codon, and T loops). The record is from RNAcentral. Lineage: Archaea; Nanobdellati; Candidatus Aenigmatarchaeota.